UACGUAGGUGGCAAGCGUUGUCCGGAUUUACUGGGCGUAAAGCGCGCGCAGGCGGUUGAUCAAGUCGAAUGUGAAAGCCCCCGGCUCAACUGGGGAAGGUCAUUCGAUACUGCUCGACUUGAAGGCAGGAGAGGGAAGUGGAAUUCCCGGUGUAGUGGUGAAAUGCGUAGAGAUCGGGAGGAACACCAGUGGCGAAGGCGGCUUCCUGGCCUGUUCUUGACGCUGAGGCGCGAAAGCGGGGGGAGCAAACGGG
Molecule: ribosomal RNA, 253 nt
Filed under: uncultured bacterium
Lineage: Bacteria
Description: partial 16S ribosomal RNA
Rfam family: Bacterial small subunit ribosomal RNA
Source: RNAcentral